UACGAAGGUCCCGAGCGUUGUUCGGAAUCACUGGGCGUAAAGGGAGCGUAGGCGGCGCGGUAAGUCAGAUGUGAAAUCCCGGGGCUCAACCCCGGAACUGCAUCCGAUACUGCCGUGCUAGAGGAUUGGAGAGGUAGCUGGAAUUCUUGGUGUAGCAGUGAAAAUGCGUGGAGAUCAAAGAGGAACACUCGUGGCGAAAAGCGAGCUACUGGACAAUAUCUGAC
Molecule: ribosomal RNA, 224 nt
Filed under: uncultured bacterium
Lineage: Bacteria
Description: partial 16S ribosomal RNA
Rfam family: Bacterial small subunit ribosomal RNA
Source: RNAcentral